Lactuca sativa (garden lettuce) is the source of this 1185-nucleotide non-coding RNA. Lineage: Eukaryota; Viridiplantae; Streptophyta; Magnoliopsida; Asterales; Asteraceae. The record is from RefSeq and is a predicted model, not a curated record.
GGAUCAAGAACUUACUAGUCGACGUCUCGUUUUUUUUUUUUUUGUUUCGAUCAGUAACUCUCUUCCCGCUCCCUCUCGUUUCCUUCCAGUCGCAGAUGUAGCAAAACUUGAGAUCGUGAUCGGUUUGCAGGAGUAGGUCGCUGGAAAAUGUAACCCUUGUCGGAACAUGCACAAACCCACAGUUUCUCUCUGUUCACUCUCGCAAUUGCCGCAACUCGACAAAGUGAUCGUGCAGUUUAACCCACAGCACCCCAAACGAAACAAAACGGACAGAAGUGAAGGAAACGCACCUAAUUAAGGUGGUGUUUGUUUUUUUAAAAAUACCUCUUCAGACCUCUUAGUGCUGCGCGGCGCAGCACACGCGCAACACUUUUAAGUUCGUAGCAGUUUGUUUUCUAAAAGACUUCGGGCUCCAAAACCUCUUCCUGUCCUCUUCCCCACACAACAUUGAGCUUGGCUCUUCUCGCCUCUUCUAACCUAAUAAACAAAAAAAACGCCCUAAACAAAACAAAACAAAACAAAACAAAACAAAAAAAAAAAAAAAAAAAAAACACGGAAGAUCGCUCCAGCCGUUCUCCUUCUUCGUUCGUUCUCCUUCUUCAUUCUCAGCUUUCUCUCGUCAAUCGCCGACUCCAGCCGCUCGUCGGUCGCCGCUGCCUCUCGCCGGUCGCCACUGCUGCUGCCCGGUGCUCGUUCUUUGCUGUCAUCGUCAACAUCGACAAGUUAGGUUUUUUUUUUCUGAUUUCUUAUUUUAGUACCGAUUUUAUGUUGUGUAGUACCAAAUUUCUGCUUUGAGUACCAAUAUUGUUGCUGAGAUGUAAAGAAUUUUUACCUAAUCUCCCCAAAUAACAGAACCCAUAUUUUAUUUCACUUCUUCACCUCUUGAAGCACCGAACCAUGGAGCUCCUAAAAAUAUUCAUGGCAUUGGCUUUGAGUUCGACCUAAUUCUUCAGGUGAAGCAAAGGCAAAAAGGAGCCAAAAGAAUGUUGCUCCAAGUGUUUAAUCAAGUUUUUGUGAAGGAGCUCCAAAUCAAGAGCAGUUUGAAGCAGUUCAUAAAGAUGUUAUUUAGCUAAAACAAUGUAAUUUUAAUGUUAAUUCAUUUAAUUUGUAAAUAGUAUUGAAUGUUCUUAUAAAAAAAUGUAAUGAAUUUUAUUUUAAUAUUGUAAGACUAAAAUUAUUAUUUUU